GACAUGGGGCUCGAGCGUUAAUCGGAAUCAUUGGGCUUAAAGGGUGCGUAGGCGGGUUGCUAAGUGUUCUGUGAAAUCCCCCGGCUCAACCGGGGAAUCGCAGGGCAUACUGGCAGCCUUGAGGCAUGUAGGGGCGGACGGAACUGUAGGUGGAGCGGUGAAAUGCGUAGAUAUCUACAGGAACGCCGAUGGUGAAGACGGUCCGCUGGGCAUGUCCUGACGCUGAGGCACGAAAGCGUGGGGAGCAAACAGG
Molecule: ribosomal RNA, 253 nt
Filed under: uncultured bacterium
Lineage: Bacteria
Description: partial 16S ribosomal RNA
Rfam family: Bacterial small subunit ribosomal RNA
Source: RNAcentral